RNAcentral lists this ribosomal RNA (253 nucleotides) under uncultured bacterium. Its description in RNAcentral is "partial 16S ribosomal RNA". It matches the Rfam family "Bacterial small subunit ribosomal RNA", at positions 524 to 776 of the family's 1533-position model. The record is from RNAcentral.
UACGGAGGGUGCAAGCGUUAUCCGGAUUCACUGGGUUUAAAGGGUGCGUAGGUGGGUUGGUAAGUCCGUGGUGAAAUCUCCGAGCUUAACUCGGAAACUGCCGUGGAUACUAUCAAUCUUGAAUACUGUGGAGGUAAGCGGAAUAUGUCAUGUAGCGGUGAAAUGCUCAGAUAUGACAUAGAACACCGAUAGCGAAGGCAGCUUGCUACACAGUCAUUGACACUGAGGCACGAAAGCGUGGGGAGCAAACAGG